CAUUCUUUGUCUUCAUUUUCAGGAUAAGGGAAAUCCUGAAGGCGUCUAGAAAGUUGCAAGGCGAUCCGGAACUGCCGAUGUCCUUUACUUUGGCCAUAGUGGAGUCGGAUUCCACGAUAGUCUAUUAUAAACUUACCGAUGGGUUUAUGCUGCCAGACCCUCAGAAUAUUUCUCUUAGAAGAUGACGUCUGCCCUUCCUGGUACUGAUUUCCUCCCUGAAGGAUUGGCUGUGAGGCUCUUCAGCAUGCUUCAUCUUUCGUCUCCAAGUAGUCAGGGCUGACUUAGCUAGUCCCAACCCAUAAACUUCCUUUCAGAAUAAAACCUUCUCGGAUGGAAGCACUAUAUUGCUUGCAAAUAUAGUUAGCCUAGAACUUUCUUAUCAGAGACAGACAGUUACAUGCAGGUUUACAUCAAGGAUACGUUCAGUGUGGUGGAGCCUGGCUGUGCCUCUGCCAUCCCACAUGUGUAGUCGAUAGACAGGUAUCCGUGAAUGGUAUGGAGAAAACACUACAGCAAGAAACUGGACAUAGAGCAUUAACGUAUGUGGUCAUGGAUGUUAAUGACAUAUCAGGCUAUGAAAGUAGACAAUCAGAUUUCGUGGUCCCAAUAGGAUGGCAGGGCAGCAAGUGGAUGCCUUGACCUUCUCCACAUUUCAUUUGUUAUUUGUAUUACUUUUAUAAUAAAACGGUUUAAAUAAAAAAUAUCUUGAAA
Molecule: long non-coding RNA, 711 nt
Organism: Arvicanthis niloticus (Nile rat)
Lineage: Eukaryota; Metazoa; Chordata; Mammalia; Rodentia; Muridae
Source: RefSeq, a predicted model, not a curated record